Molecule: ribosomal RNA, 687 nt
Filed under: uncultured archaeon
Lineage: Archaea
Description: bacterial SSU rRNA
Rfam family: Archaeal small subunit ribosomal RNA
Source: RNAcentral
ACACGUAGCUAAUCUACCCUUAGGUCGAGGAUACCGUCGGGAAACUGACGAUAAAACUUGAUACGAGAUUUUUUCUGGAAUGGGAAAUCUCUGAAAUUCGCGCCUAAGGACGAGGCUGCGGCUGAUUAGGUUGUUGGCGGGGUAAUAGCCCACCAAGCCAUUGAUCAGUAAGGGCCCUUAGCGGGGGAGCCCUGAGAGGGAGUCUGAGACACUACUCCCAGCUUUACGGAGUGCAGCAGGUAGGGAUUUUUUGCAAUGCGCGCAAGCGUGACAGGGCGAGCCAGAGUGUUUUUCCUUUUGGAAAAACUUUUGCCAGCUGUAAAAAGGCUGGCGAAUAAGGACUGGGCAAGACCGGUGCCAGCCGCCGCGGUAAUCCCGGCGGUCCAAGUCGCAGCCAACUUUAUUGGGUCUAAAACAUCCGUAGCUUGCUUUGAAAGUCUGUUGUGAAAUUCUGUCUCUUAAGGGCAGAAACUGCAAUAGAUACUACAAGGCUAGAGUCCGGUGGACGUAAGGAGUACAUUUAAGGUAGUGGUAAAAUACGUUAAUCUUAAAUGGACUAACAACAGCGAAGGCACCUUACGAUGACGGUACUGACAGUGAGGGAUGAAGGCUAGGGGCGCAAAGUGGAUUAGAUACCCAUGUAGUCCUAGCAGUAAACACUGCGCACUAAACCUUGUGACCUCCUCG